Molecule: ribosomal RNA, 433 nt
Filed under: uncultured bacterium
Lineage: Bacteria
Description: partial 16S ribosomal RNA
Rfam family: Bacterial small subunit ribosomal RNA
Source: RNAcentral
AACGAACGCUGGCGGCAUGCCUAACACAUGCAAGUCGAACGAGACCUUCGGGUCUAGUGGCGCACGGGUGCGUAACGCGUGGGAACCUGCCCUUAGGUUCGGAAUAACUCCCCGAAAGGGGUGCUAAUACCGGAUAAUGUCUUCGGACCAAAGAUUUAUCGCCUUUGGAUGGGCCCGCGUUGGAUUAGCUAGUUGGUAGGGUAAAAGCCUACCAAGGCGACGAUCCAUAGCUGGUCUGAGAGGAUGAUCAGCCACACUGGGACUGAGACACGGCCCAGACUCCUACGGGAGGCAGCAGUGGGGAAUAGUGGACAAUGGGCGAAAGCCUGAUCCAGCAAUGCCGCGUGAGUGAUGAAGGCCGUAGGGUUGUAAAGCUCUUUUACCCGGGAUGAUAAUGACAGUACCGGGAGAAUAAGCGCCGGCUAACUCCGUG